RNAcentral lists this ribosomal RNA (253 nucleotides) under uncultured bacterium. Its description in RNAcentral is "partial 16S ribosomal RNA". It matches the Rfam family "Bacterial small subunit ribosomal RNA", at positions 524 to 776 of the family's 1533-position model. The record is from RNAcentral.
UACAGAGGUCUCAAGCGUUGUUCGGAUUCAUUGGGCGUAAAGGGUGCGUAGGUGGUGGCGUAAGUCUGGUGUGAAAUCUCGGAGCUUAACUCCGAAAUGGCAUUGGAUACUGCGUUACUCGAGGACUGUAGAGGAGAGUGGAAUUCACGGUGUAGCAGUGAAAUGCGUAGAUAUCGUGAGGAAGACCAGUUGCGAAGGCGACUCUCUGGGCAGUUCCUGACACUGAGGCACGAAGGCCAGGGGAGCAAACGGG